RNAcentral lists this ribosomal RNA (253 nucleotides) under uncultured bacterium. RNAcentral describes it as "partial 16S ribosomal RNA". It matches the Rfam family "Bacterial small subunit ribosomal RNA", at positions 524 to 776 of the family's 1533-position model. The record is from RNAcentral.
UACGUAGGGCGCAAGCGUUGUCCGGAAUUAUUGGGCGUAAAGAGCUCGUAGGCGGCUUGUCACGUCGGGUGUGAAAGCCCGGGGCUUAACCCCGGGUCUGCAUUCGAUACGGGCAGGCUAGAGUGUGGUAGGGGAGAUCGGAAUUCCUGGUGUAGCGGUGAAAUGCGCAGAUAUCAGGAGGAACACCGGUGGCGACGGCGGAUCUCUGGGCCAUUACUGACGCUGAGGAGCGAAAGCGUGGGGAGCGAACAGG